Drosophila bipectinata is the source of this 3179-nucleotide non-coding RNA. The record is from RefSeq and is a predicted model, not a curated record. Lineage: Eukaryota; Metazoa; Arthropoda; Insecta; Diptera; Drosophilidae.
CACUGCAUUGGCAUACGGUUCAACUGACUUUUUUACGGAGUGAAGUGCACAAAAAUGACAAGCUUUUUCUAAUAUAUUUUAAUAUAUAUUUUACAUAACGGUAUUGCGAGUAAUAUUUGGAAUAGGUGGAGCGCGGCCCGACCCGCUCCCAGUACUACCCCACCCCUCCUGGCCCAUGAAAUCAAUUAAGCGUAGAACGGCGUAACGCGAAAAUCGAUUUCGCUUUCGGCCGCGGGCGCAAGCAAUAAUAGAAACAUCAACUAGAAUGUCCCCGUACACAGUGGAUGCGGAAAAGGAGAUGACAUCGAAGGGGCACUGGAUAAAAGCAACCCAUCAGCCUGAUUCUGGCUCCUGGGGUGGACGUUGGCAAAGGACAGUGCUUCUGGCGGGGAUUAUCCUGAGUAUUUUAACGACAGGCUGCUACGCCACGGACACUGACAUCGCACUGGACGCCAAGGCCACUCUGAAUCAUCGUAUCCAAAGCCUCGAUCUGCUCGUCUUUGUGUUCCUGCUGGCCCUUACGGUUCUCACCAUAUGGCUGUUCAAGCACCAUCGAGUAUCCUGGCUGCACGAGACCGGACUGGCCGUAAUUUACGGUCUGAUUGUGGGAGCCAUAAUACGCUAUGCCGGCACCUCCACCACCCUUGUCCACAUGCAGGUUGAGCCCCAGGGCAUUCCGACGUACAGCGAUAAGCUGCCACCGGAUACUCUCUGGUUUAAGUAUCCAGUUAACCAGACCAAUAGUACCAAGCUCCCGGAGGGCAUGAGCAUUAAAACAUAUGCUUAUGUUUUCCGUGGGCAGGUCUACAAUGAGGAUGAGAAUGAAAUUGAUCUGAAGGCGACAUUUGAUCCGGAGGUGUUUUUCAAUAUCAUACUGCCCCCGAUUAUCUUCUACGCGGGGUAUAGCCUAAAAAAAAAAUAUUUCUUUCGAAAUCUGGGUGCCAUUCUUACCUUUGCCAUUGUGGGGACCACACUGUCGGCCUUCCUCAUCGGUGGCUUCAUGUACGGCUGUGCUAAGCUGAUGCCCAAUUACCUAAGCAGCAGUUUAACGUUCUUGGAUACCCUCUACUUUGGAGCCCUGAUUUCGCCCACAGACCCUCUUACCAUUUUGGCCAUUUUCAGUGACCUGAAGGUCGAUGUCAAUCUAUACGCUCUGGUUUUGGGUGAAUCUGUCUUGAACGAUGCCGUGGCUAUAGUUCUGAGCGGAGCUAUUCAAAACUAUGGAGAACACUAUUCCAACUCUGGAGAGUUCGAAACGACGGCGUUUUUGCGGUCUCUGAGCGAUUUCUUCUCCAUCUUCCUACUUUCGCUGAUGAUUGGAGCUGCGAUGGGCUGUCUGACAGCAUUGAUGACAAAGUUUACGCGGGUACGCGAUUUCCCGCUCUUGGAGUCUGCUCUAUUCGUCCUCAUGAGCUACAGCACUUUCCUGCUAGCUGAGGCCACGGAGCUGACGGGAGUGGUGGCCGUGCUCUUCUGUGGCAUCUGUCAGGCCCAUUACACCUACAACAAUCUCUCGGAGGAUUCCCGGCAGCGAACAAAACAAAUAUUUGAGUUACUGAACUUCCUGGCAGAGAACUUUAUCUUUUCCUACAUUGGAGUGUCGAUGUUUACCUUUCCAAAACAUCAUUUUGAUCCAGGAUUCAUUAUAACAGCUUUUAUCUGCGCCGCGAUAGGUCGCGCUGUCAACGUUUAUCCCUUAUCCUGGCUGCUGAAUAUUAGGCGAAAACCCCAAAUCUCAACAAACUUCCAGCACAUGCUCUUCUUUGCUGGCUUACGAGGCGCCAUGUCCUUUGCCCUGGCGAUUCGCAACACAGUGUCUGAUGCUCGACAGACCAUGUUGACGGCAACAUCCCUGAUUGUUAUCUUUACGGUCAUUAUACAAGGUGGAGCGGCGAAUUUUCUGCUCAAUUGGUUGAAAAUACCUGUUGGGGUUGACGAUGAGACUGAACAAUUAAAUAAUUACCAAGUGCACAGUGUUUACAAUUCAAUGGACAAUUCACAUCCGCAGACGUCUGAUGGCUACUUGCAGGAUGUGGAGGGCGGUGGCGGAGGACGCGGCAAGUUGCGUAUCUCGGGAGGCACGGAGUCCAACUUGGACACGCCAAUCGAUGGUCCAAACGGAAGCUUGGGCGGUACUAGUGGCGGUCGUCGCCGCAAUAGUCAUGAAAAGGCAAUUCUCGCCAGGAUCUGGGGAAGCUUUGACACCAAGUACAUGAAACCGCUGCUGACCCACUCGAGACCCACACUCCUAGAGACUCUGCCCGUUUGUUGCAAUCCCAUCGCCAGGCUGCUCACCACCACGCAGCAACUGACACAGGAUGGUAGCGAGUUCCGGCGUGUCGACUCGGACUCCGAUAUAUGCAUAGACAAUGACACUGGCAAUGGCCUUAGCCAGGACGGGGGGCCGGCAGGUGGGCCAGGAUCAGGAACAGGCGCAAGUGUGGGGCGGCGCAACUCACUUAGUCGCUCAAUCCAAUUAAAUGCGGCCAAUCACCUUGAAAAUGAUCUCAGCCUGGUUACUAAUAAUUUCAUGUAAAAAGAUUUCUCCGGACUAAACGGGCGAUUUAAAAAAAAACAAUCUUAUAUUUAGAGAGUUUCUUUAGUAUUUUUAAUAUCCAACCUUUGUUUGUUUUUUGUCUACUUUUCCUUGGUAAAACAAAUAUUGUAUGUACUAAAUAUGGUGGCACAGACGGAGACCCAAACAUAAUGAUAACCGUAGUCCAGAGAGCCUGUCUGUCAGUCUAAGAAAUGAUUAACCAAUGGCUUCUUAUAGCGCACUGCUGUUAAGAUCUUCGUUUCUAUUGUACAAUUUUAAUUUUUGUAUUUAUUUCCAUAAUCUUAUUUCUUAGAUACUAACACGCGACUAACCAUGUUGAAGACGAGCAUCGAAACGUUUAUACUUAAGUUUACUUUUUUGUUAUUUAUUUUAAUUGGUCUCAUUUGAAAUGAAAAAUAUGGAAAAAUGUACAAAUUAGAUUAUUACUCUUAUGUUUCUUCUUGUUUAAACAAUGUGAUUUGGAACUGUAGUUAUACAAAUAAAUAAAUUAGCGUUUACUGAUACCGAUCGAAUUAAAAAUUGAGUUAGGUCUUUGCUGAAACUGGCUACCAAUCAUCGAGCUCACACAAUAUGAAUCACCUAUACCUUAUCACACAAAUAAAUAUUAAGUCCAUUGUUUCAA